Arabidopsis lyrata subsp. lyrata is the source of this 630-nucleotide long non-coding RNA. RefSeq lists it as uncharacterized. Lineage: Eukaryota; Viridiplantae; Streptophyta; Magnoliopsida; Brassicales; Brassicaceae. The transcript is spliced from 2 exons. The record is from RefSeq and is a predicted model, not a curated record.
CCAAUAAAGCCCAAUAACUCCUAACAACUAGAGUUUGGUGUUUGUAUGUGUAUGUGUAGAAGCAUAAAGAUCUCUCUCUUCAUUUAGAAAUGCCGUCAAGAGAAGAAUAGAGAGAGAGACAGAGAGAGAGAGAAAGGAGAAUUGUAGCAAAGGCAACGUGAUCACCACCGGAGCUUCACGUAGUCACCGUCGUUCACUUCUCCCACCGGAAUCGAUGGCGAAGGAGACAGAUCAUUCCACAAGGAUAGCAAAGCAGUGAUGAGUCUAUUUUGUAGCAGAUCAGAGAUGGACAAAUUUGGAGAAAAUGAAUCAUUCUGGAGCUAAACCGGAGAUUUGGAGCUAAGGAGACGAUUUCGGCAUCAGACCAAGACAUGAGUUUCGACCGACACCCAUUGGUGUCGCUCGACACCACACACGGCCCCGUGAAAAGUCUCGACGGUUUAAAGUUUUAAAGCCCGCAUAAUCAACCCAGAAGAUUUCCUUAAUUGCAAUUUUAGUCCUUGCACGUUUUUGAGACUUUAUAAAUAGUUUUUAGGUUUUUUCUAUUUUAUUAUCUUGUCUUUGACUUUUGUAAUUCUCUGAGCUUGAACCCUUUGGAAGAUAAUUGGAGAGAGCUAUUUUCAGAGAUUU